Molecule: long non-coding RNA, 6974 nt
Filed under: Marmota monax (woodchuck)
Lineage: Eukaryota; Metazoa; Chordata; Mammalia; Rodentia; Sciuridae
Source: RNAcentral
CAAGGUGACCGGGAAGAAGAAGACGGAUGCGGAAGGGAAGCAGAGGUGCCAAGUCUUUAAUCCUGCUUUUAGCCGCAUCAUGGGGCCUCCGCAGGCAGGUGAGGCUCCGUCCCCCUAGAACAGGAGUCGUGGCAGGCGUGUGCCCUCUGCUGAGCGGCGUGUGGACCUCUGCAAGCCAGUCCCACUGUCGAGGACACAGUCCCAUGUGGCACUUGGAGAAGCUGAGUCCAAGGUCACCAGAUCACAGGAGCUGGCACGGGGACUCCUACUACAUCAGGCUCCGACGUGCACGGAGCCACGCACCUGCCCCAGAGAACCCCACGUGAAGGUCCCCAUGAGGGAGAGACUGAGACCGUGUCCAGAUGAAGGGAUCGAAAAGGCUUCCAGGAAGGGGGGUCCCCAGGGGCCGCAGGUGAGCGGAACUCACAGGCCAAGCGGCGGGGGGUGGGACUGGGCUGCUUCCCCAGGAGCCCGGCCCGCAGGUUACUGGAGAUGCCGACCAGAGUUCCCAGGCCCACAGAGGUCACCCAGGUCCCCUGGGGCCUCGCCAAUGGAGGGGGACUCGCCCAUAGAUAAGGGCAUUUGGGCGACAUCAGAAUGAACCGAUUGAAUCAGGUGCUGAGCCCAGAGCUCUGGAGGGUUGUGGGUGUUGGGGGGUCCCCUAGGCUCUGGCCAAGGAGUGCCUGUCUGAGGGAGGCUCACAGAGUCCCGGCCACUGGACACACUUUGACAAACUUUGCUUGUUUUGUUUUGUUUUUGGCCCUGGGUUGAACCUAGGGCUGUUCUACCACGGAGCCUCGUCCCCAGGACUUUUUAUUUAUUUUAUUUUAUUUUAUUAUUUUAAUUGUUAAGACAGGGCCUCACUAAGUAGCUGAGACUGGCCUUGAACCUGCAAUCCUCCUGCCUCAGCCUCCCGAGUUGCUGGGUCACAGGCGUGUGCCACCACCACACCCAGCAACAAACUAGGCUUUAAGAUGACGAAGCCCUGAAGCCCUCGCUACCCCUCUGUGUCCUGGGACCCUCGGGCUGAGUACAAAGUGAUGUGUGGGUUCCUGUGCGUGUGGGCAUCUGUAGGGUGGAGGCCAUCAGCCCUGAGAGCAGCGUGUGUGGAGAUGGGAAGCCGCUGGAGCCAGUCACAGCAGAACCUGAUGGUGUCCUGGAGGACGGAGUGACCAUAGGGGCAGGAGGAGGGCCUGGGGUCAGCUCAGAAGCCUGUCCAGGAGUAGGGCUAGGAGGGCCUGGAGGGCCCGUGUGCCAGGUCAGGACAAACGACGACUGAAGGUUAAGCGCCAGGGCUCUGCUCAUUUGAGUCCCAGCUGAGCCACUCAGGGCUGUGUGGCCCUGUGCAAGUGCCUCAACCUCUCUGAGUCUCCAUUUCCUGUGUCUAUGGCAGGGAACAUCCUGUCAUUUACCUCCAAGGCUCCUGGUGAAGAUUUAACAGGACAGUGUCAACUCCUCAGCCCACUGGAGAGGGUUGGCGUCCCUGGAAGGGGGCUGCGGGGGGGGGGGGUGUGGAGCCAUGAGGGUCUCACUGCCUCUGCAGGAAGCCCCUUGGCAGCCCAGACAGAGGGGUCAGGAGGGACGAGCCAGCCACCAGAUCUGUGAGGGACCACAGCAGGGCAGAGUGCUUGGUUUGCAUUCAUAGUGACACGUAGGGGACACCCAGGUGCGAGGGAUGCAGUGACAGAGGGCACGAGGCGGGGCCCAGAGCUGGUGCUCCUGGCGCACCUGUGACCUUGCGCUAACACCCGAGCGCUCACUCUCUUGCCACACCCUGUGCCGUGCCCGGAGCAGUGCUGGGUGCUGGGUGCUGGGUGCUGGGUGCUGGGGACUCGUUCAUUGACACCUCACGGCAGCCACGUGCAGCAAGUGUCAUUUUAGGCCUGUUUUUCAGAUGACAAAAAUCAGGCCCAAAGAGGUCACCCAAGUCCCCUGGGGCCUCGCCAAGGUGCGCUUCGUUGAGCCUGGUAGAUGGAGGGCGCUCGACACGGCUGUGUCCUCUGUCCACCUGGGGAGCAGAGACCCAUCGUGAGCGGCAUUGAUGGGUGGGUGGCAGGAGCCUGGCUUCAGGUGGCAAAGAGAACCUGGACACCAACGAGGACAGAGCCACCAGGGGACUGAGCCUCUUGGAGCGGCAGGUGGGAGUCCUGAGGUCAGAGUUCAAGUGCAUCCGUGCUGGGUCCAUCAGGUCAGCUCCAGAGUGGCCACCCCCUCUCACCACGCUCACAAGUGAACCUGUGUCCAGCUGAGCCCACAAAGGUGGGUGGCCAAGCCCACUGUCCCCCAGGCCCCCCCCCCACUCGUGGAGCCCCCGCUGCACCUUGGUGCUUAAGUCCAGUCACAGCUGACUUUAAAUUCAGUCACGGCUGGGACACUAGGGCGGAUCUAGGGGACGUGGUGUCCCAAGGGCUUGGAGGAGCUGUGGAGGCCUCGGGGACCUUGACACGGUGGGAGGAGGCCAAGGACCCUGCAGGGAGGGACUUGGUCACAUGAGGAUCGCUGGGGAAUUCCUGGGGAGGGCUUUCCCAGGGCCAUUCUGGCACCUGUUGACCUUGGCCGGCUGGACAAGGGCGUUUCCAGGAAGGGCCUUCCCCCACCUGAGUGGGCCAGGCUGUGGACAGAGGCUGCCCCAGGGCCUGUGUGGCCCCAGGGCCAAGCCUGAGCCCAGGUGUUCUCCGCAGGGGCUGAGGACAGCCUGCAGGGCCACAGCACAGGGGGGCUUGUGCCAGGGCCACAGGCACAAGAGAGUGGACCUAAGAGAAGGCAGGACAGCGGAAGCCGCAGCCGAGAGCCUCCCAGACGGCUCCCUGGGGCUGGUGCACGUCACAGCGGGGCCUCGGAGGCCCAGUUAGGUCCACUCAGGGCCACAGCGUCCAUCCUGGUCACGGGAAGAAGCACAACCCACCAGAACACUGACGGAAGCUGCCGUGGGCCUUCCCGAGCCCCACAGCAAUAGCCGAGCGAUCCUCUGUGGCUGCCAGUCAGGUGCCCUUUGUCCCCUGUCCCCCAUGGCCCUCUCUCCAGUGGCGUGAUGCCACUUUCAUUCCCAGGGUCAGUAUUAAGUCCUAACACAUUUCCCCACUGUGGUUAAAACAAGUGUCUGAUGGUGCUGGACAUCUGACCACUCACCUGAGGUCACCUGAGGGCUGCUGCUCUCUGGCUGUGUGACCCUGGGGAAGUCAACCCACCUCUCUGGUCACCCUACUUCUCCAAUUCUAAAACAUGUUGUUGACGAUGUUUCCAGGGUCCCUCUGGCUCGGGCACCAAUUCUAAUCAUGGCUAGCUCCGCCUGACAGGGACCAGGACUGAUCUUUGUGUGAAUGUCUUAGCGGGGUGCCCAGAGCAUAGUAGGACCCCAAAACAGUUGGAAUAAGAGAGGCAGCCAACGGAGAGGGAAGGAAAAAGCAAGGGAAGAAGGAAAGACGGAAGAAAGCAAGCGGGGGUGGGGGGCGGGCCACACACAGUGACUCCCACCUGGAACCCGGCUGCUCUGGAGGCUGAGGCAGGAGGAUCGCAAGUUCCGAGCCGGCCUCAGCAACUUGGCAAAACCCUGUCUCAAAACUAAAUAAACAGAGCUGGGGGCAGCGCAGCGGCGGAGCACCUGCCUAGCACGUGCCAGGCCCUGGGUUCCGUCCCCGGCUCCGCAAAGAGAAAACAGGAGGGGGGAGGAGGCUGCAGGGAGAGAGAGCCCCGGGGAGGCGCAGAGGCCAAGCCCCGGAGGUUCCGGUCCUUUGUGUCCCCACCCUCCGGGCCUGGCCUCUGGGUCUGGCCUUGUACUCAGCAGGCCAGCUGACCAUCACGGGUUGAAUCUGAAUGAAGCAGGGUCAGAAGUGGACCCCACGACAGCGGGCAGCCUCCCGGGGACGCUGCGCCAGUCUGCCCAGCGUGAGUCACGGAGCUGUUGUCCUGAACGCGGCCGGUCCCCGCAGGCCCUGCAACCCAACGUGGGGUACCUUUGUAUGUCUGUCGGCAGCCAAAUAAUCACUUUAGAAGCUGCUUCUCUCUUCAAGAGAAAGAGCAGAGAAUCCAAAGGAACCACAGCGAUCUCCAGGUGGCCAGCCACGGUCCUGCAGGGCGGGGACUGGGGACACUGACCGGCCUGUGAGGGCAACUGCAGGGGCUGGGGGAGGCCAGGAAGGGGCAGCUCUCCAGAGACCGGCUUGUCCCCAGUCCCAGUGGCCAUGGGCCACACCAAGGUGGGUCCCUUCUCAGGCCUUGGUGUCCCCACAGGAGGGACUGGGGUCAGAGGACAGAGUCAUCCCAGGGUUUUGCUCACUGGCCCUGGAGUCGGACGAGACUGAAUCCAGCCUCGAAGACGGUGCUCAGGCCUGUGACCUUGGACAAGGGGCCUGGCAUCCCCGAGCCCCAGUGUCUUUGGGGAAAAAUGAGGAUCGUACCAUCCCGCGGAGUUGCCGAGGGACCAAGGUCUGGGAGAGCACUUUUCUCCAGUCUGACACAGUGAACAUCACAGAAAUAGGAUCGGAAUAGCAGGCCAUCCGUCACGAGCCACGCGGAGCCCAACAGGACAGACGCGCAGCCGAGAUGGAUUUCCCCAGAUCCAGCUGCAGACGCCAAGGAGCGGCAACACCCGCAAACACGAGUAACAGCAUAAGAACCAUGUCAUUAAGUCAUGAAUGUUGACACCGGCGGAUGACAGGUAGGUUGGAACUAUUUAUAAGUAACUGCUCAUACUUUGUCGUUUGGAAAAAAAAAAAAAAGAGAUUUUCACGAGACGCAAGAGUCGUCGCGGGUUCGCUCUGGUUUUAGUUAGAAAACAAAGCGCUUUUACGAAUUUCACUCAUUUCCAGGUGUUGAUCUAAUUAAUCAAAGAGUGUCUUUGGACACGCGUGGACCCAUGCAGAGGGCAGCAAGGUGACCAGUUGGCCGAGUGGUCCCAGAGCCCGGGGACCCUGACAAGCUUGGGACAGGGGCUCGUGGACAUUAGAGGAGGUUGCCUGAGCGCGGGAGAGGGAAGGCCCCGGGUGGGUCCCCAGGGUGGUGACCACCUCUGUGCGGCACCGCCUGUAAUUUCAGGUGGAGAGAGACCACAGGGUGCCGUUGAAAGCACCAAGUCACGCAGGGUCAGAGCUACUCCCUUUCCCACCCUAUUUCCGUCCCUCCGAUGACAUCAGGAGGAAAGCCACCGCUCUGCGCUAUUUUCUCAAGACUUCUUAUUUUUAUUAUUUUCCCUUUUUAACCAAGAGCCUCAUGCUCAGGGUCUGUGCCAAAGCCGCAGGAUCUAGCCAGAAUCUAAUUAGCACUGAUUCUGCCCGGGGGUAUUUAUUCCCAUUGAUGGCAUAUGAUCCCGAGUCGCUAUUUAAGGCAGCGACACAACGUUUACUUUGCAACUAAGUUUAUUAAGGUGUUCAGAAAUAUACUGGAUACAGGGGAAAUAAUGGGGUAAACAUAUAGGGACAUGGCAAAGUCCAGACGGUGGUUUGAAGUGGUGGCUGAGUGCUGCAGUGUCAGCGUAGGCUUGUCCCCCAAGGGUGCUCCUGUUGGGGGUUCGAUCCUCAAGGUGGUGAUGUACAGGUGUGGGACCUUUAAGGGGUGGGCUUAGUGGGAGGUGCUGAGGUCACUGAGGUGCUAUCUAUCAGGAUGAAGGCAGUUUCAGGGGAACCCCAGUUACUUCCCUCAAGAGUGAGUUAUUCGUAAAGAACAAGACUGCUCCGUCCCUGCACUCUGGCUUCCUGUCUCACCAUGUGAUCUCCUUCUCUUGCACACACUCUUGCCAGGACACCUUACAGCUUACUGUGACACAACCAAGGGAGCCCUCACCAGGGCCCAAACAGAUGGACCUGCCCAAUCUUGAACUUAGAGCAUUCAAAACUAUGACCUACGUAAAGACCUUUUUUCUUUUAUGUUACCCAGCCUCAGGUAUUUUGCUAUAGCAACAUUAAACAAACUGAUACACAGAGUAUGGAAGCAUCGAGAAGAGGAUCCAGAGAGAUCUAAGGUUGAGAAAAUCCACACUCUUGUGGCCACAAAGAAGAAAAGAUCAGACUUGGGAAGGGAAUGAUAGAAAAUGAGAAGAGCAAAAUCACUUAGGAUCUUAAUUAAAAAGCUAAAUGUAAAUUGUAAAUGAGAGGCAAUAAUGGGUGGACACAUGUCUCCCAAGAGGGACCCAGGUGAACUUGGAUACUGUGCAAAGUCUCUCCCUCCACAUAUGGAAACACGUUCAUGGUCCCAGGAUUCAGGCUUGUCAAUGGCCAUCACAGAGACAGACAUUUGGCAGAAUCUGCUUGUACCUUUGGGCCUGGCAGCCCCGCCCUCUUUGGCUCUCCUGGCUCGGUUGGAGUCUGUGCCAGCCCCUGUAGGCCAGCCUGCCUGUCAGAGACCUGGGGACUGCUCAGUCCAUAGGAGGCCUUGCUGGAGAGCAUAAGGGCAGCAGGAAGAGGGGUCCCUCCUUCCCCUCGGUGCCCAAGACCUGGACUCCGGUAACCACCACCUCCCCCAUUCUCCCUACAGCCUAGGGGCCCUGGCCACGUCCCUCCCCUAUUGCUCACACCCUCUGGUUUUAAUCCAGUUGUCCCUUGGUGUCUGCAGGGGAGGGGCUCCAGGACUACCCCCCCCAGGAUGCAAAUCCCAUGGGUGCAAGUCCCUUAUAAAAAUGGCCCAGUAUUUGCAUAUGGCCAAUCCUCCUGUAAACCGUCUCUAGAUUGUUUAUAUUACCUAAUGCAAUAUAAAUGCUGUGUAAAUAGUUGUUACACUGUAUUGUUUAGGGAAUAAUGACAGGGGGAUAAAGUGUAUGUGUUCAGUACCGACACAAUUUUUGUUUUCAAAUAUUUUCAAUCUGCAGCUGGUUGAAUCUAGGGUGAGGAGCUCUGGGACCAGGAGGGCUGACUACACUGGGGUGAUUUGCUCUUCUGCCUGGAGCCGGUGGAUGCACCUCCCAGAACCUUUAUUUAGUCAGAGACAACCUUAUGUGGCUCUAUGAAAAGCCCUCGUUACACUCAUUAAAUGAUGAAUUUGAG